Molecule: ribosomal RNA, 344 nt
Filed under: uncultured eukaryote
Lineage: Eukaryota
Description: SSU rRNA
Rfam family: Eukaryotic small subunit ribosomal RNA
Source: RNAcentral
AUAGCGUAUAUUAAAGUUGUUGCAGUUAAAAAGCUCGUAGUUGGACUUCUGGGAGGGUGCCACUGUCCGCUUGUUAGCGUGUGCAGCGGCGCCCUUCCAUCCUUCUGUUAACGAUUCUUGGUAUUCACUUACUGGUUUCGGGCUCAGAUAUUUUACCUUGAGAAAAUUAGAGUGUUUCAGGCAGGCUUGCGCCGGAAUACAUUAGCAUGGAAUAAUAGAAUAGGACUUCUGUCUCACAUUUGUUGGUUUGAGGGGCUGAAGUAAUGAUUAAUAGGGAUAGUUGGGGGCAUUAGUAUUUAAUUGUCAGAGGUGAAAUUCUCGGAUUUGUUAAAGACUAACUUAUG